Molecule: ribosomal RNA, 250 nt
Filed under: uncultured bacterium
Lineage: Bacteria
Description: partial 16S ribosomal RNA
Rfam family: Bacterial small subunit ribosomal RNA
Source: RNAcentral
AUUGAACGCUGGCGGAAUGCUUUACACAUGCAAGUCGAACGGCAGCACGGGGGCAACCCUGGUGGCGAGUGGCGAACGGGUGAGUAACACAUCGGAACGUGCCCAUGUCGUGGGGGAUAACGUAGCGAAAGCUACGCUAAUACCGCAUACGAUCUACGGAUGAAAGCGGGGGACCGCAAGGCCUCGCGCGAUUGGAGCGGCCGAUGGCAGAUUAGGUAGUUGGUGGGGUAAAGGCUCACCAAGCCUGCGA